GGAAGAGUGAGUGGCCCUGGAGCUGGGCCUUCCAGUAGGAGCAGGGUUUCUGCAGGGAAGCAGAGAGAGGAGCCCGGGAGAAGGCACACGGGUUCUUCUCAGCCACCGUCAACAACCCCAGCUGCUACCAAGGUGCAAGAACACACAGGCUGCUGUGAAAGGACUGUAGGGGGCAAGGGCAGAGGAAGGGGCCAGCCAGGAGGCUUCCAAAAUAAUCCAGGCAGGAGAGGAUGGUGGCCUGGACAAGGGUGGCAGAUGAGGAAACUGCCGCUCAGAGACGGCAGCCGACCCAGCCAAGGCCGCACAGCCAGGAUUCAAAGCCAUACCGCUCAGCUCCUGCCUCCAGGCUCUGCCUUUGCAUGUGGCUUCUCCUGGCUCCUGGACCCUUCCCCGGCCCUCCCAGCUGGCUGUGCUGUGACAGUGGGCGGGGGAGUGCCAAGGCUCUGCCCUGCCCCCCGCCCUUGGCAUCUCCGGUCAAUAUGGCACUCACAGCUCCCUGGGCAUGGACCCCCUCCUGCCAUCCCCACUUAAAGUGAUACUUUAAUAAAUUAUGCUUUUAUGUUAUUACACGUGGAGCUAUAAAAGCAGAGAGUGUGCGGCCGGGCUGAGGUAAGGCGCCCGCGACUUUCCAAUUUCCUGGUCUGGCCUGGCUCUGCUCCGCACCGUGAAUUUUUCAUUAAUGUGCACAGGUGACGCCACGGGGCAGCCGCAGGCCAGUCAUAGUUACAGAGGCAAUGGACACAUUGAAGAGAGGAAAGAAAACAAACACGACCUAGAAUCUACGGGGAAGGAAGCCUUCUAGACUCCAGACCUUCCGUGUCCAGAAGUGUCAGUCUUCACAUCUGUGAGGUGGGGCCAAGGAGUCCUGCCCUGCCAUGCUGGGUGUUGACUUCGGGGAAGGGGCCUUGGGAUGUCUAUGAGGAUGCAGCUGCUGCCUUCUGUCUUGGCAGAGACCAUGGCCACCCCAGGACACCGUGUUUGGUCCCCGCUGUGCUAAGUCUCCUCCAGGCACCAGCCAGGCAUCAGUGGAGCACAGCGGAAAUGGGUCCAAAGCCACCCACAGAGGCUCUGUGUGGUUCUUGGAUAAUUCUGGAAGGCUCUAGAGAAGGCAACAAGAAGGCAGGAACCCAGGGCCAGAAACUGGACAACUUGUGUGUGUUUGUCUGUAAAGUGGGGCUAGGAAUCCGCGUGGGGGUCAAAUGAGAACAGCUCUGCCUCCCAGCGCACAGUCCCGCGUCGAGGUCAGAGAGCCUCUUAGGCCCUGGCUCUUUUGGGAAAUCAUCCCAGGGGCUAAAGACAAAACUGAAGUUGAAAUAAACAUGGGGGUCCAAACACUCCAGAAUUCUGAGUGAGGGAAUCUCCUCCCAGGCUUCCACGCCAGGCCCGAAUGCAAACAAGAGGCAGCAGGGGUGGCUUGGGCCCCUCACACAGAAUUAGUGAGAUUAGCUGAGAACCAGAGCCCAGCAGAUGUCCCCUCUCUGGACUCGGUGACUCACUUGCCUCCCUGGUUGAGAAUCGUAUCCGGCUGGGCCUGAGCUGUCCUGGCUGGCGGGGAGCUGGACGCAGGGCAGAGGUCGGGGUAAACACCCGUGCUCCAGGCGGGAGGUCGGGAUGGGGGUGGUGACAAGGAGGACAACAUUUCCACUCAGCAGAAAGAAGAGCCUGAGCUGCCCUAGAGCCGGAGGCGCUGCCUGGAGAGGUCGUGAGGACCCGGUCCCAGAGGUGUGCAAGCUGGGUACCCUUUGAAGACUAUAGGAGGAUUCCAGUUGGCGCUGGGAGUACUCCAGGCAGGAUGCCAGUUCAGGUCCUUCGUGCAUGAGACUCUCCCAGAGAGGCAGGCAAACAUUUUCUGGGAAGGGCCAGAUAGUAAAUAUUUCAGGUUUUGCGGGUCAUCCUGCUAUCUCUGUUGCAACUGCUCAACUCUGCCACUGUAGCUUGGAAGCAGCUACAGACAAUACAUAAAUGAAUGGAUGUGGG
This 1977-nucleotide long non-coding RNA is filed under the name Homo sapiens (human). RNAcentral describes it as "HSALNT0003021". Lineage: Eukaryota; Metazoa; Chordata; Mammalia; Primates; Hominidae. The record is from RNAcentral.